This 1246-nucleotide ribosomal RNA is filed under the name Nocardiopsis synnemataformans. RNAcentral describes it as "bacterial SSU rRNA". It matches the Rfam family "Bacterial small subunit ribosomal RNA", at positions 107 to 1354 of the family's 1533-position model. Lineage: Bacteria; Bacillati; Actinomycetota; Actinomycetes; Streptosporangiales; Nocardiopsidaceae. The record is from RNAcentral.
UGAGUGCACGUGAGCAACCUGCCCCUGACUCCGGGAUAAACGGUGGAAACGCCGUCUAAUACCGGAUACGACCCGCCACCUCAUGGUGGAGGGUGGAAAGUUUUUCGGUCAGGGAUGGGCUCGCGGCCUAUCAUCUUGUUGGUGGGGUAACGGCCUACCAAGGCGAUUACGGGUAGCCGGCCUGAUAAGGCGACCGGCCACCCUGGGACUGAUACACGGCCCACACUCCUGCGGGAGGCAGCAGUGGGGAAUAUUGCGCAAUGGGCGAAAGCCUGACGCACCGACCCCGCGUGGGGGAUGACGGCSUUCKRGUUGUAAACCUCUUUUACCACCAACGCAGGCUCKAAGUUCUCUUCKGGUUGACGGUAGGUGGGGAAUAAGGACCRGCUAACUACGUGCCASCAKCCGCGGUAAUACGUAGGGUCCGAGCGUUGUCYGGAAUUAUUGGGCGUAAAGAGCUCGUARGCGGCGUGUCGCGUCUGCUGUGAAAGAMCGGGGCUUAACUCCGGUUMUGCAGUGGAUACGGGCAUGCUAGAGGUAGGUAGGGGAGACUGGAAUUCCUGGUGUAKCGGUGAAAUGCGCAGAUAUCAGGAGGAACACCGGUGGCGAAGGCGGGUCUCUGGGCCUUACCUGACGCUGAGGAGCGAAARCAUGGGGAGCGAACAGGAUUAGAUACCCUGGUAGUCCAUGCCGUAAACGUUGGGCGCUAGGUGUGGGGACUUUCCACGGUUUCCGCGCCGUAGCUAACGCAUUAAGCGCCCCGCCUGGGGAGUACGGCCGCAAGGCUAAAACUCAAAGGAAUUGACGGGGGCCCGCACCAGCGGCGGAGCAUGUUGCUUAAUUCGACGCAACGCGAAGAACCUUACCAAGGUUUGACAUCACCCGUGGACUCGCAGAGAUGUGAGGUCAUUUAGUUGGCGGGUGACAGGUGGUGCAUGGCGUCGUCAGCUCGUGUCGUGAGAUGUUGGGUUAAGUCCCGCAACGAGCGCAACCCUUGUUCCAUGUUGCCAGCACGUAAUGGUGGGGACUCAUGGGAGACUGCCGGGGUCAACUCGGAGGAAGGUGGGGAUGACGUCAAGUCAUCAUGCCCCUUAUGUCUUGGGCUGCAAACAUGCUACAAUGGCCGGUACAAUGGGCGUGCGAUACCGUAAGGUGGAGCGAAUCCUUAAAAGCCGGUCUCAGUUCGGAUUGGGGUCUGCAACUCGACCCCAUGAAGGUGGAGUCGCUAGUAAUCGCCGAUACAGCA